CUGAAUGUAAUGAAAGAUUAUUAUAAUGCAGCAGAAUGGGCCAAACAUCAGCAAUCCUGUCAGCUUACAGGAAGUGCUUGUUGCAAGCUGAUUUCCCAAGAGGCGUUUUACAGGGAGACAAAGACGAACUGACACAUCUGUCCCUGACUGCUGCUUCUGUGGGCGUGUGUUUUCUGGUGUAUUUCUGAGAUGGAAGACAAUUGUCAAAGAAUAAAAGCUGACCUCACUGGGACAAUUCAUAUAGGUGGAAGGGACAAAAAACUUGUGGCUGCAGAUGAGGAGGGAACAGUGUGUGAAAGGGGGAAGUGCUGUCACCACAAUAUCAUCUCCUCCCCUUCUAACCUAUCAAAAGUGUCUCUCAAGCCCGGAUCCCAUGACUUCACACUUGCAGAUACCUGUGCCCAUGUGGAGUCUCACUGAAGUCAGUGGGGUUCUGCAUGGUGCAGGGGUCCUCCAGGUGCAACCUCAUGCAGGAUCAGGGCCAAAGUCAAGUUGCAGCUCCGUUGUAGAAAUGCAUCUUCCAAAGGCAGUCACUGGAGUGAGGACCUGCUGCAGGAACUGAUGCUGCCCAGAAGGUGGCCAAUACUGAGGCACGUGGCCUGCAGGCAGAUGACUGUGGACUCUUGCAGAUCUUCUUAGAUGUUCUUUAGCGUGAACUGCUUGCCCGUUCUCCAGCAUGGAGGUGGGGCAAACGACUCCUCUGGAAGAAUGAAGAGGACUCACAGAAUGUAUUGUGCCAUGUGGGCCACAAACCCACACAGUGGAUGAUCUGCCCUGUGUCUACCCUGCUGGUAAAAGUAAAUUUGCAUGGUCGUUCAUACUUGAGCCCUCACAAAAACCUAAAUGGUGACCUCCAACACAGCUGUAUCAACAGCUUGGCACAGCUGACUGUCACACAGUCCAUUCAUGUGGAAAGUUAUUCUGCCUUCACCUUGAUGAGGUCACUGGUAAGGUUUUGUGUAACAGAGCGAGUUGGAUGCAGUUGUGGAAUUUUAGUAUUUGUCAGAAAUUGCAGCAACUGCCUUAUGGAGUGUGUUCUCAACAAUGCACUAGGUGAUAUGAAGGUGACAAGGAAUGCUGGAGUCUUUUCCCGUAGCUUCCUAUUUUCAUGCUUUCGAGGUUUAAGUGCUGUCCCUGAACAGGGAUGGAUUUUAGCAUGUGCUUUAGUGCUUUCUUGAAUUGCCACUGAUACCAGGAUAGGAGAUCAGGCCCAUUGGUCCUUUCAUGGAAAGAUGAGGCUCUGGGGUCCAAUCCUCCAAUCUUUGAUCAUAUGAUAAGUCCCAUUCACUUCAAAGUGACUAUGCACAUCAGUGUUGCAGGAUCUGUCCUACAUAAAGUAGAGCUGGUAAAGCAGGUCAGAUAAAACAAGGACUGCCUUGAAGGGGCUCUCAAAAUGUAAAGGGUAUGUUUAUGUUUCAAGAACUACCCAAAUCUUGGCCCAGAACACAAACCAGUUUUUAAAUGUUCAGUUUACCCCACACCCCCACUCUUCUACAUUUUCAUUUCCUGGUUUUGUCUGGGCUCAGAAAUGGAAAAAGUAAAAUAUAGAGAGGCUGCCACCCCGGCUGAUUUCUUGACCAAAGUGGUCUGGAUAAGUAGCUGAGUUUUUGGUUGCUUAUUGAAACCAAACUGUCAAAGCUUUGAGGUUCUCCUGCAUAUAGGAAGGUGGUAGCCAAAACCAGGGCUACCUGCAGAAUCUGACACUGCUCUAGUUUUAAUCCUUGUCCAAGUCACCUUCCUAGUAGCCUUUUGUGGACACCUGUAGAUUAUGAAUUGAUCAGCUAAACAGAACCACCCCAAUGUUAGUAUUUAUUUUGGUUACAGAAGGUGCAAAAAUGUUUCUCCCAUAAAUAAAUACUAUAGGGCUUGUGUACACUGCCCAACAGUUCAGACGACCGACCUAUGAACAGCUGUGUGCACUAAAAUGCUUCCCGGUAACUCCUCUUGUGUUGAUGCAGCAGGCACAAAUGAAAAGGGGUCUAGUUUGUGUUAAUGUAGUGCUCUUCAAACAGGUCUGCAUUAAUGUGAAGUAGAAACCUUUUAGUUCAUUUUUUCAAGUGACCGUGCAGCACUUUCGUGCACAAUACUAUUCACAGCCCCUGUAGUCCAAAUGUUGGUGCGGUGUAGAUGUAGCUUACUUGAAGACAUUGGAAUGUAGGUGAAUAACAAAAGGAUGCUGAUAUCUGACAGU
Mauremys reevesii (Reeves's turtle) is the source of this 2191-nucleotide long non-coding RNA. RefSeq lists it as uncharacterized. The transcript has 3 exons. NCBI's taxonomy places the organism in Eukaryota, Metazoa, Chordata, Testudines, Geoemydidae. The record is from RefSeq and is a predicted model, not a curated record.